RNAcentral lists this ribosomal RNA (265 nucleotides) under uncultured Allapsidae. RNAcentral's name for it is "partial 18S ribosomal RNA". The stretch from base 52 to 265 matches the Rfam family "Eukaryotic small subunit ribosomal RNA", at positions 739 to 955 of the family's 1831-position model. The record is from RNAcentral. Lineage: Eukaryota; Cercozoa; Glissomonadida; Viridiraptoridae.
GACUUCUGGUUUACCAUCCUUCCAGCAACGGCUACCCUUAACUGGGCGGCUGGAACUGGAUCUUUUACUUUGAAAAAUUAGAGUGUUUAAAGCAGGCGUUUGCUCUGAAUACAUUAGCAUGGAAUAAUAAUCUAGGACUUCGGUUCUAUUUUGUUGGUUUCGAGAACUGAAGUAAUGAUUGAUAGGGAUAGUUGGGGGUGCUAGUAUUGGCCGGUCAGAGGUGAAAUUCUUGGAUUCGGUCAAGACUAACUUAUGCGAAAGCAUU